CCUAGCUUGCUAGGUGUCCUUAGUGGCGCACGGGUGAGUAACACGUGGGAACUUACCUCAGAGUACGGAAUAACUAUGGGAAACUAUAGCUAAUACCGUAUAUUCCGGAAACGGGAAAGAUUUAUCGCUCUGAGAUAGGCCCGCGCAAGAUUAGUUUGUUGGUGAGGUAAUGGCUCACCAAGGCUACGAUCUAUAGCUGGUUUUAGAGGAUGAUCAGCAACACUGGGACUGAGACACGGCCCAGACUCCUACGGGAGGCAGCAGUGGGGAAUCUUAGACAAUGGGCGCAAGCCUGAUCUAGCCAUGCCGCGUGUGUGAUGAAGGUCUUAGGAUCGUAAAGCACUUUCGCCAGGGAUGAUAAUGACAGUACCUGGUAAAGAAACCCCGGCUAACUCCGUGCCAGCAGCCGCGGUAAUACGGAGGGGGUUAGCGUUGUUCGGAAUUACUGGGCGUAAAGCGUACGUAGGCGGAUUGGAAAGUUGGGGGUGAAAUCC
Molecule: ribosomal RNA, 494 nt
Filed under: uncultured bacterium
Lineage: Bacteria
Description: bacterial SSU rRNA
Rfam family: Bacterial small subunit ribosomal RNA
Source: RNAcentral